Molecule: ribosomal RNA, 478 nt
Filed under: Bombus pyrosoma
Lineage: Eukaryota; Metazoa; Arthropoda; Insecta; Hymenoptera; Apidae
Description: partial 16S ribosomal RNA
Source: RNAcentral
GGCUUAUUGAUAAUAAUUUUAGGUCAAUCUGCCCAAUGAUUUAAAUUUAAUGGCUGCAGUAUAACUAACUGUACAAAGGUAGCAUAAUCAAUUGUUUUUUAAUUGAAAACUGGGAUGAAAGAAUUAAUGAGAUAUAUUCUGUCUCAUAUAUAUGUUAUGAAAUUAAAUUUUUAGUAAGAAUGCUGAAAUUUAUUUAUGGGACGAUAAGACCCUAUAGAAUUUUAUAUUUAUUUUUAAAUUUUAUUUAAUUUAGGAAUAAAUAUUUAGUUGGGAGGACUGAUAAAUUUAAAUAACUUUACUUUAAAUAUAUACUUUAAUUAAAGAAUAAUUUUAGGUCUUUUAUUAAAAAUUAGAAGAAAAAAUUACCUUAGGGAUAACAGCGUAAUAUCUUUUUAAAGGCCAAAUUAAAAAAGAUGAUUGCGACCUCGAUGUUGAAUUAAGAUAAAUUUUAAAUGAAGAAGUUUAAUAAUUAAGUCUG